AGAUUUUUCAAUCCACUACGGAAGGAAAUCAGCUAAAAGCCAAACAAUCUGAUGUGUUUGUGGAGCAAUCCCAGCACAUUGGAACCAUCCACUUGUGCACAAACAUAAGCCCCUAUUUUCCUGGACAAAGGCAGAAGAUCUUAUCCAGAGUAUGCUGACCUCCCAGGGUCGUUCCAGAGAGUCUGCUCAAUUUCUGAACAUCAACAGGACCGCUCAAACAUGAAAUCGCUGUGUCCAAAGAAAUAAAGACAGCUCCUAGCCGUUUUAAAGAAGCUCCUUCUAUAGUGUGUGGAGUUUUUAUUAUUAUUAUUAUUAGUGUCAUGAUUUGAUCAAAAGACAAAAUAAAAUAAAUGAG
Molecule: long non-coding RNA, 355 nt
Filed under: Fukomys damarensis (Damara mole-rat)
Lineage: Eukaryota; Metazoa; Chordata; Mammalia; Rodentia; Bathyergidae
Description: lncRNA (ENSFDAG00000025206.1)
Source: RNAcentral